AGAAACCUAACAGGGAUUCGCCCUAGUAACGGCGAGUGAAGCGGCAACAGCUCAAAUUUGAAAUCUGGCCUCUUUGGGGGUCCAAGUUGUAAUUUGCAAAGGGUGCUUUGGCGUUGGCUGUGGUCUAAGUUCCUUGGAACAGGACGUCACAGAGGGUGACAAUCCCGUAUGUGGCCGCCAGUCUUCGCCGUGUAAAGCCCCUUCGACGAGUCGAGUUGUUUGGGAAUGCAGCUCUAAAUGGGAGGUAAAUUUCUUCUAAAGCUAAAUAUUGGCCAGAGACCGAUAGCGCACAAGUAGAGUGAUCGAAAGAUGAAAAGCACUUUGGAAAGAGAGUCAAAAAGCACGUGAAAUUGUUGAAAGGGAAGCGCUUGCAACCAGACUUGCUUGCAGUUGUUCACCCGGGCUCUUGCCCGGUCUACUCUUCUGCUCGCAGGCCAGCAUCAGUCCGGGCGGUUGGAUAAAGGCCUAUUAAACGUACCUCCCCUCGGGGAGGACUUAUAGGGUAGGCGACAUGCAACCAGCCCGGAUUGAGGUCCGCGCUUUUGCUAGGAUGCUGGCGUAAUGGCUGUAAGCGGCCCGUCUUGAAACACGGACCAAGGAGUCUAACAUCUAUGCGAGUGUUUGGGUGUCAAGCCCGAGCGCGUAAUGAAAGUGAACGGAGGUGGGAACCUUUCGGGGUGCACCAUCGACCGAUCCUGAUGUCUUCGGAUGGAUUUGAGUAAGAGCAUAUCUGUUGGGACCCGAAAGAUGGUGAACUAUGCCUGAAUAGGGUGAAGCCAGAGGAAACUCUGGUGGAGGCUCGCAGCGGUUCUGACGUGCAAAUCGAUCGUCAUAUUUG
RNAcentral lists this ribosomal RNA (838 nucleotides) under Velutarina rufoolivacea. RNAcentral's name for it is "eukaryotic LSU rRNA". It matches the Rfam family "Eukaryotic large subunit ribosomal RNA", at positions 56 to 913 of the family's 3401-position model. Lineage: Eukaryota; Fungi; Ascomycota; Leotiomycetes; Helotiales; Cenangiaceae. The record is from RNAcentral.